CUUUCAGGGCCCUGGCCCUACGCUCCCACUUCCGCGUCUGCUGCAAGCCUGUCUCCCAAUGCGCGAUGACGUCACUUGCGUGCGUCCUUUGCGCUGGAGACAGGCGCUGGUGAGGGAGUGAGGGAGCGGCUGCUGGCUUGGAGUACUUUGAAGGAGAAGGACUUCUGCUUGCUGCAGGCUGGACAGGGAAGACUGGGCCUUGGGAUUUCUUUGUGCAGUUCUGAAAAAGUGGAUUUCUUGCUGCUGGUUUGAUUUGGUUCCAGGCUGGCAGCCAACUGCACUCUACCUGAGCAACGUCCCCACCGCGUGCUUCUCACAUUUAAUACCCGCAGAGGAGUCAUUGGCACCUCCUGGUCUGGCCUGUGUAUUUGAAUGCUAAUUAUAACCAGAGACAAGUCAGGAGCUGCUUCCCCCCGGCACGAGGCACCGUGCGAACAGCAAGAGCGCAAUUCUUCAAUUUCAUUUCUUUUACAAAAAAAACAUUAGGAAGCAAAGACAACAUGCCGGGGAACAUGACAAAUUCCUUCUGUGGCUGAAAGUAUGAGGGAAAACCAAAUACAAAUGGAAUUCUAAUUUGCAGAGGCCAUGAAUAAUCUCAUCUCAAAGGCGCUGUGUAUGGCCAUGUCUUAUAACUCAAUUUGUUAUUCUCACACUUGUUAAAAGGGAAAGUAAACCCUGUUCCUCUGGAUUGCUUCCUUCUUAUUUCAUUUGCUCAAUAGCUCAAGGCAGUAGUUCUUAUGUAGGCAGAACCUUCAGCCUUGAUAGAAGUGUUUGCCAUCAUUUUACAGCAAUGGCACCCCUAAUGGGCACAACAAUAUUGCACUGUUUUGGUGAUUUUCACAAGAGAGACGCUUUUAUUGAUGUAUACAAAUGCAAGUAUUCAGAGAAGGAAUGGUUAAAUUAAAAAGUAAGUUGCAAUCUA
Xenopus tropicalis (tropical clawed frog) is the source of this 922-nucleotide long non-coding RNA. RefSeq lists it as uncharacterized. The transcript has 2 exons. NCBI's taxonomy places the organism in Eukaryota, Metazoa, Chordata, Amphibia, Anura, Pipidae. The record is from RefSeq and is a predicted model, not a curated record.